UUCGCCUGUCGAGAGGAGGGGUUGGGGGAAAGGGAGGAAGUUUCUCCGUUUCUGAUUAUGCGCAGAGUUUCCUUGUACCGAGCUUAUGUUCUCCACCCACUACUUAGUAAGAACUCCUUAACAACUUAAAGCUUUAUCCCUCUGAGUACCAGAAAAGUGAUUUGAGUAGUUAUUGAGCAGGGAGAAUAAACUGCUUGCUCCGGGCAGGGAGGAAGCUUAUGGAAAUGAUAUUAGACCUUCAGCAAAGUGCACAGCUGCAUCAUACAGAAGCUGAGACUCAAAUUGACAGGCAAAUAAGCCAGAUCACGGAAGGGGCCUCUGUGUGGCAGCUCUGAGCUCCCAAGGGUUGGACAACUAGGCAAAAAGUGCACUGGAACAGGGCAGAAAAUAGCACACUAACUUCAGGCAACUGUUGCAUUUUCAUGGCCUGGAAAGUAACAUUUUCUGUAGAUGUCAGCUUCUUUCUGGUGUGAUGCUCCAUUCUUCUGGUGACGUCACAUGCAGCACUGAGUAAUAUUGGUAAAAUGGAAGAGGUCUCUUAGAAUAAGGUGUCCAUCUGCAGUUCAGUUUUGCAGCGGAAUCAUUUGUAUCACUUCACUAACUGGUAAGUCCUGAGAUCAUUAUUUAAUGUUUGUAUUACCAUGUCACCACCAACAAAUUCAGGUACUUCCUUUCCUGGCAUGGAGAUGGGUAAGACUCUCAUCUCCUCUGACAUGAUUCCCACAGCACGUAGUCAUAGUGCUGGCAGGGUGUUGGGACCACAGUGGAGGCACAGUCAGGCCUGUGAUGGCUGGCAGUCAUGAACCUGGCCUGGCUAGGAUGGUGCUGCAGGGCUCUGCAGCUUUUUCUAGUUGGAACAUAACUCUACACCAGCAGCACCAGAAAUGGGUCUACCAUCUUAGUGCUGUUAAAUUGGAUAGGAGUUUUGUCAUGGUCUUCUUCACUCAGAAGAAAAUUUCACCUUAAGUUUCUAAGAAAUAUUUAGUGGCUAUCUUCUUGCUUGUGGGAAGGCUGACGUUGUCUUGAUGUGAUUCUAAAUAUUUUUCC
This is a non-coding RNA of Phasianus colchicus (ring-necked pheasant), 1047 nucleotides long. The record is from RefSeq and is a predicted model, not a curated record. NCBI's taxonomy places the organism in Eukaryota, Metazoa, Chordata, Aves, Galliformes, Phasianidae.